RNAcentral lists this ribosomal RNA (253 nucleotides) under uncultured bacterium. Its description in RNAcentral is "partial 16S ribosomal RNA". It matches the Rfam family "Bacterial small subunit ribosomal RNA", at positions 524 to 776 of the family's 1533-position model. The record is from RNAcentral.
UACGUAGGUGGCAAGCGUUAUCCGGAAUUAUUGGGCGUAAAGCGCGCGCAGGCGGUUUCUUAAGUCUGAUGUGAAAGCCCACGGCUCAACCGUGGAGGGUCAUUGGAAACUGGGGAACUUGAGUGCAGAAGAGAAAAGCGGAAUUCCACGUGUAGCGGUGAAAUGCGUAGAGAUGUGGAGGAACACCGGUGGCGAAGGCGGCAUCCUGGACCAACACUGACACUGAGGAGCGAAAGCCAGGGGAGCAAACGGG